GCUAGCCAGCGGCAACUCUUCACGAGUAAGGUUCUCCCGUGAACGUUUUUUAAGGGUACUACAUUCUCACUGCCUGCUGUAACUCCAGAGAUUCUAACACCCUCUUCUGGCAUCCACAGGGUACUACAUUCUCACUGCCUGCUGUAACUCCAGGGAUUCUGACACCCUCUUCUGGCAUCCACAGGGAAUUCUGAAGGUUUGAAGCUACUAACUGUUUGAUGAAGUUAACUGAAAAAGGAUGGAAGCUGUCAACUGCUUGAUGAAGGUCUGCUCCUUCUACUCUGUGUUUGAGUCUUUAUGGUCCUACCAUAUCUCCAAACAGCUAUGAAGAAACAACUAAAGUGGGUAGAGAGAUGGCUCAGCAGUUAAGAGCCCUGGCUACUCUUCCAGAAAGCCUGAGUUCAAUUCCCAGCAACCACGUGGUGGCUCACAGCCAUCUAUAAUGAGAUCUGAUGCCCUCUUCUGGCAUGCAGUUGUACAUGCAGAUAGAGCACUCAUUAAAUAAAAAUCUUUAAAAA
Molecule: long non-coding RNA, 518 nt
Filed under: Mus caroli (Ryukyu mouse)
Lineage: Eukaryota; Metazoa; Chordata; Mammalia; Rodentia; Muridae
Description: lncRNA (MGP_CAROLIEiJ_G0002560.1)
Source: RNAcentral